UGUUUUUUUUUUUUUUUUGUUUGUGUGUGUGUGUGUGUGACUACUGUUUCUAGUAUAGAGAAAGCAUAAUGCUUUCCUUUUCUCUUUAUGUCCCUCGCAAAGAUUGAACUAUUCGUCACUUGGUUUUUAAUGCUAAUACUCCAUGCUCAAGGGCGUAUUGCUCAUGCAUUAAACUAAAAUAGGGGAAAUAUUUAUCAAAAACUUUUUUCUGGGAGCUUCUUGUUGGUGGCUUAACAUCUGUUGCAAAAUUAUCAUUCAUCAACUUUGAUACUCUGACACUUCAUUUUGCCCCGUCGUUCCUGUGUCAACGUGACAUGACAUGGAAUAUGUGUCCUACACAUAUUCAUGCGGUUGAAACUUGAGUUACAGAGAUCUCUUAGGAUGAAAAGCAUAUGGAAUUAAAGGAUAGGUAAAAAACA
RNAcentral lists this unclassified non-coding RNA (419 nucleotides) under Hevea brasiliensis (rubber tree). The record is from RNAcentral. Lineage: Eukaryota; Viridiplantae; Streptophyta; Magnoliopsida; Malpighiales; Euphorbiaceae.